UUUGACAGUGGUUGUUUGUUUCAGUACUUGAUUUAAUUUCUGACCAGUAAAUAUUGCUUAUCAACAAGUGUUGCUUUGGGGUUUUCAUAUGCCCAAACUCAUAAUCUUCUGACACCAAUCACCAUACGUGCACUGUGGAACUCCGGCGUGAUCUUGCUUCUCACCUCUCUUCAGGUUAAACCUUGGAUUAAGACAAGUCUCAAUCCAGGUUCCGGUGUUGUUACCAAAUAUCUCCAUAAGAGGUAUUGUGUUAGGAUAUGUGGAUUGGAAAGAUAUUGUGAGAAUGCAAAAUUUUCUGUUACUGUUCGGUAAAUUUUGAUCAACAAGGUUUCCACAUUGUUGGUUAUGGCUGCA
This is a long non-coding RNA of Magnolia sinica, 354 nucleotides long. RefSeq lists it as uncharacterized. The transcript is spliced from 2 exons. NCBI's taxonomy places the organism in Eukaryota, Viridiplantae, Streptophyta, Magnoliopsida, Magnoliales, Magnoliaceae. The record is from RefSeq and is a predicted model, not a curated record.